RNAcentral lists this ribosomal RNA (247 nucleotides) under uncultured bacterium. RNAcentral's name for it is "partial 16S ribosomal RNA". It matches the Rfam family "Bacterial small subunit ribosomal RNA", at positions 15 to 265 of the family's 1533-position model. The record is from RNAcentral.
GAUCAUGGCUCAGGACGAACGCUGGCGGCGUGCUUAACACAUGCAAGUCGAACGGGGCAUAGAGAUAUGCCUAGUGGCGGACGGGUGAGUAACACGUGAGCAACCUAUCCUAUACAACGGGGAUAACACAGAGAAAAUUUGUGCUAAUACGGUAUAAGACCACACUCCGGCAUCGGANGGGGUAAAAGCUGAGGCGGUAUAGGAGGGGGCUCGCGGCCCAUUAGCUAGUUGGAGAGGUAAACGGGCU